This 87-nucleotide transfer RNA is filed under the name Candidatus Omnitrophota bacterium. RNAcentral describes it as "tRNA-Leu". It matches the Rfam family "tRNA". Rfam says of the family: Transfer RNA (tRNA) molecules are approximately 80 nucleotides in length. Their secondary structure includes four short double-helical elements and three loops (D, anti-codon, and T loops). Lineage: Bacteria; Pseudomonadati; Candidatus Omnitrophota. The record is from RNAcentral.
GCGGGCGUGGCGGAACUGGCAGACGCGUAUGGUUCAGGUCCAUAUGGAGGCAACUUCUUGGGGGUUCAAGUCCCUUCGCCCGCACCA